RNAcentral lists this ribosomal RNA (406 nucleotides) under uncultured bacterium. RNAcentral's name for it is "partial 16S ribosomal RNA". It matches the Rfam family "Bacterial small subunit ribosomal RNA", at positions 30 to 526 of the family's 1533-position model. The record is from RNAcentral.
AUUGAACGCUGGCGGCAGGCCUAACACAUGCAAGUCGAACGAGUGGCGGACGGGUGCGUAAUUUCUGGGAACCUGCCUGAUGGAGGGGGAUAACUACUGGAAACGGUAGCUAAUACCGCAUACCAUCAGAUGUGCCCAGAUGGGAUUAGCUAGUUGGUGGGGUAACGGCUCACCAAGGCGACGAUACCUAGCUGGUCUGAGAGGAUGACCAGAGACACUGGAACUGAGAAGCGGUCCAGAGUCCGACGGCAGGCAGCAGUGGGGAAGAUUGCACAAUGGGCGCAAGACUGAUGCAGCCAUGCCGCGUGUAUGAAGAAGGCCUUCGGGUGGUAAAGUACUUUCAGCGGGGAGGCGUUACCCGCAGAAGAAGCACCGGCUAACUCCGUGCCAGCCGCCGCGGUAAUAC